This is a non-coding RNA of Triticum aestivum (bread wheat), 135 nucleotides long. The record is from Rfam. NCBI's taxonomy places the organism in Eukaryota, Viridiplantae, Streptophyta, Magnoliopsida, Poales, Poaceae.
CAAGUACUCCCUCCGUCUCAAAAUUCUUGUCUUAGAUUUGUCUAAAUACAGAUGUAUCAAGUCACGUUUUAGUAUUAGAUACAUCCAUAUCUAGAAGAAUUUAAGACAAGCAUUUUGGGACGGAGGGAGUACAAG